CCACCAGCUUGAGCUCUGCCCCAGAAAAAAAACCUGCAGUCAUAUUCCCGGUGCUGGCACAGCAUGUGUGAAUUAGAAUUAGAGCUGAGAGAGAAUCCCCUGCUCUGGAAAAGGCAGUGGUACAUUCCUCCGAUUAUGAACCUUCACUAAAUUGGUUGCUGUGCAUUUAAUUCUAGACCCAUCUUUCAGAGCUUUCAGGUCCUGUGCAGCAUCUUUCCAAUUAGCUCAGGUUUUCAGAGACAGGUGCCUCUCCGUUUCCAAACCACAAGACACAAGAGCUCAUUCAGUUAUUUGUCUCAUUUGACAACCGGGAAGACUGCCCAGGAGUACAAGCAAGUGCUGAGCUGCUGAGGAUGGAUGGUGUUGGUGGCAACAGGACUAUGUCUUACAGUCGAUGGAGUUACGACAGUGUUUUAGAUGACGAGAGCAGCAACCUGCGACAACAAAAGCUUGACAGACAGAGAGCAUUGCUAGAACAGAAGCAGAAGAAGAAGCGUCAAGAACCAAUGAUGGUUCAGUCCAAUGUAGAUAGCCGCACAAGGACCCGUAGAAUGAAACAAUCUGAAGAACAAGCACCACUAGUUGAGUCUUACCUCAAUAGCAACAGCAGCGCUAUCUAUCAUGCAGUACAAGAGACUGAGCAAGAAGAUGUUAAGGUGGCAGCAGAUCCACAGGCUCCGAAGUCAACCAAAAAACCCAAAGCAGCCACAGGAGGCUGUCAAACAAGCAGCACCAGGAAAGAGAAGAAAGGAAAACAAAAGGGCAUUGAUGGUCCAGCUGCUUUUCAAGAUGAAGUACAGAUAGCAAGGAGCCAAGUUCAAAUUCUUACUGUUGGGGAAUCUUGCCAUGAUGAGGAUGAUGGAGAGGUGUUAGCUACUAGCCAACAAGGCAAACAAGACCUUAGAGUAACAAUGCAGAAAAAAGGCAUUUCAAGUAGCAUGAAUUUUGAUGAAGAGGAGGAUGAGGAGGAUGAAGAUAGCUCAAGUUCCUCACAGUUAAAUAGUAAUACCCGACCAGGUUCUGCAACAAGCAAGAAAUCAAAUAAGGAAACAGCAUCAGGGCCCAGCCCUUCAACCAAUAACCCUGUAAUAAAUGUGGAUGAUUUGGAGGAGUUUGCUGUGAGACCUGCUCCUCAGGGAGUUACUGUCAAAUGCCGAAUCACAAGAGACAAGAAGGGAAUGGACCGUGGAAUGUACCCUACCUAUUACCUCCACCUAGAAAGGGAGGAUGGUAAAAAGGUAUUUUUAUUAGCUGGAAGGAAACGGAAAAAGAGCAAAACCUCAAAUUACCUCAUUUCCAUUGACCCAACAGACCUGUCACGAGGAGGAGAGAGUUUCAUUGGAAAAUUAAGGUCAAAUCUCAUGGGGACUAAAUUUACAGUUUACGAUAAUGGAGUUAACCCAGUGAAAACAACAUCGAGUUUGGAGGCAAGUAAUCUACGCCAGGAGUUAGCUGCUAUUUGCUAUGAAACAAACGUUUUGGGAUUUAAGGGUCCUCGUAAAAUGAGUGUCAUCAUACCUGGAAUGAAUAUGGAUCAUGAGAGAGUUUCCAUCAGACCACGGAAUGAACAUGAAACACUCCUCUCAAGAUGGCAAAACAAAAACACGGAGAGUGUCAUUGAGCUGCACAACAAAACUCCAGUCUGGAAUGAUGAUACUCAGUCUUAUGUUUUAAAUUUCCAUGGUCGUGUAACACAGGCCUCAGUGAAAAACUUUCAAAUUAUUCACGACAAUGAUCCUGACUACAUAGUAAUGCAGUUUGGCCGUGUGGCAGAAGAUAUUUUUACAAUGGAUUAUAAUUAUCCUAUGUGUGCAGUACAAGCCUUUGCUAUUGCCCUGUCCAGUUUUGACAGCAAGCUAGCUUGUGAGUGAACAAGUUAUGCCUAAACUUCACUGCAGCCAAAACCAUGUGCCACUGGAAGAAGAAAACAUACAUUCCACUUUUUUUCUGGUGUCAUCAGUGGUCACAUAUCCUUAUGAGGCAGGUAAAAUUUGUUUUCUGAAGGACCAACCUUUUUUGAUGAAGAGAAAAUAUUUUGAAAAUUCAAGACUUUUAGGAAUGUUUCCCCCGCUUAUUCUCUAUUUUUCUGGAAGUGGCAUCAGAGCUCUAUAAAUAGAAGACUUAUCUUAAUGUCCUCAGUUCUGUUAUAAAGAUGCACAUAAUUGUGGCUUAAGUGAAAACACCAUUGGGAUCAAUGAUGUCUUUUUUAAAAACCCAUAAAAGCUAUCAUGGCACAGAUCUAGUUUUGGAUUUAAGACAUAUUUGGAGGCUAUCAGCAUACCUCAAGAUUUCAUUCAUACUUUUAAGGAUUUUGUGUCACCCAUCUCAAACAUAAGACCGUGAGAAAGAUGCAAACUUUUUUCAAGAAAGAAACAAGAGGCUUCAUUAAAUUUUGGAGCACCUAAUGGAGGACCUAAUGGAAUCACCUGGAGAGAUAAAAUCAGUAAAGAUGAGCUCGUCUCUUCAUCUCUUCAGCCAGAAGAAAAUUUCUGCUGGAUCAAACUAUUCCUACUAAUAGAAGGAGAUGCUUCUAUCUGUAGAAGACUUUUUCUGGAUAUAACUAUGUAUGCAUGUUUGUGCCUUUUUACUAACAAAUCAUUAUAUUUCAGAAUGCAAGCUUUGGCUUAUCUCAUUUUCUUGGGAUUUUUUUUUUUAAACAUUAAGUGUACUAAAAAUUUGAAAUCAGAAUCAGCUUUCAAGGGGAUCUGAACAUUUAGUAUUAGUUUCAUGGUUGUUUCCCACAAAAUGAUAUUGAAUGUGACUGGUAUACAUAGAAUAUAUAACAAGACUCAGCAGUGCCAGAUUUGAGGGGGGACGUACAUUUUUGGUUACAUUUUCACUAGAUUCUACAAGGGCUGUUGGGUUAAUUGUAGCAGGUUUACCUUUCUGUGACUUACUAAGGACAAUGUGCAUCCAGUGCUGAUUACAAUUUUGCUGAUGCUUACAUCAGCACAGAAAUGCAGGUGGUUGGUCUGUGAAUCUUCUUUUGUUUUAGAUAAUUAACAUUCCUCUUGUAGUAGGUGAACACUUCUAUGCAAAAUUGCAAUCUGUUUGGUACCCUUUGAAAUUGCCAUUCUCCCAAGUCAAAGAACAUUGAUGACAAAGAUGAAGUGAUCACUCUGUCAGUUGGAGAAAAACCUAAAAGAAAGCGAAUUCAUCUAGCAGCAUUUUUUGUAUAGUAACACACUUUGUGAUGAAAAGACAUGUAAGUCAGAGAGUUGAGUAGUUACAAAUUAGGGAAUACAUAAAGAUCCAUCCCCAGAUUUUGCAGCAAUCUUUUCCUUAGGUAUAUUAAUAAGUCUUCUCAAAAUUAGAUUUAUUUAAACUAAGGCUGUCAUUUGGACAACUUAUUUGAGGAUAAGCCCCCUUGCAGUUAAUAUCACUUGUUCAGAAUACUGUGUUAGAAUUGCCCCUUAGGAAGUAUAUUUGCAGCUGUGGCCUCAAAUUUUUUGACAUGGUCAUAAAACGUAGUCUUGUCAGUACAAAUAUAUUAGCAUAUGUUUCACAUUUAAAUUCCUUGAAAUCAAACAGACUUCCUCUAGGUAAGAUUUAGUCAUAUUUAUCUGAAUGGGUCAAUUUUAAACCUGAUGAAGCCUAGAUCUAAUUUGUUGUAUGAUAUGAAAUUCAGUUGUUUGGCUUAUAUUCAUCCAAGAUUGAAAAGGGUUCACAAGGAGGAAUGCUUGUCUCUAAUCUGUUAUAUUUUUCUCUUGGUGAAUCCUUGCAAAUUGAGAUAAGGAACUUGUAGUGGAUAAGAUUUCAAGGUAUUGCUACUUUUGUUGUUGUUGUUGCUUUGAUUGGACACUUUUGGAAAGAAAAUGGCCUCAAUGAUCCUACUUACCCAUUAUUGGUAAUGGGUACACUUUCCCUUGAGCCAGUCUAUCUGCAGUGAUCUAGAUUUUGGGUGGGGGGAGCUGCAAUCUUGUGAUUGUUAGCUACGUAUUUUGUUCUCAGUUUUUAUGAGCCUGAAGAAGCAUUGAAAUGGUGACAUCAUUUGGGGAGCAGGUUGGAUGGUUUUCAGAGAAUUGGAAAGUUAUUUUGGGACAGGGUAGGAAAGUUUAGCAUAUUUCAUAGAGGUGAUCCUAGAGGUGAGUUAAACAAUAGUAGAAAUAAUUUUCUCAGUACACAGAUACAGAUACAUAUGUGUGUAGAGCAGCCUACUUACUGUUGUUAUUACUUUGGCUAAAAAAAUGUCAGAAGCAAGCUCCGCAAUCUUUACUUUCUGAUUUGUACCUUGAAACAAUUUGGAUUAAUCUUAAAGAAAUGCAUUUCAUUCCCAAAUGAUAAGAAAAUUCACAUUGAGAAUGGAAAACUACUUUUCAGACUCUCUAUGUACUUCAUCAUGUCAAUCAUUAGACAAUCUUAAAGCAAUGCUGAUGAUGUUUGGGGGGCAAGACAAGCAAGGAGGCAGAGUAGCAUAAGGAUCUAAAGGGAGAAAAGGACAAAGGAUGAAAUGAGCAUCUCAAUUGAGGACACAAACUGCCCUUUUUUUUUACAUGUUUUGUAUAUGCAUGUAUGGAAUGGAUGGAGGUUGUGUUGUGACUUUGUGAAAGUUGUUUGUGACAUUCUGACAAAAAACUCAGAUUCCUUGGGCCAUCUAUUUAGGGCAAUUAGGAAUAAAAGCAUGCAUGGUAUAAAAAGUGGAUGGGAUGGAAAUGGAAUGUCCCCACCCACCCCACUACCCCCUGGCAGUUAAGGUCAGGCCACUUCAUUGAUUGGUCUUAAAUUCAGCACAGCAUAUACUUCUUUAAGCAACAUAUGGACUUAUAUGCAACAAAUUUUACCCUGAUAGGUUGCAGUGCAGAACAUUGACUAAUAUGAUUUUAAAACAUUGACUAAAUGUUAAUGGUAUGCAAUUCAUCAGUCAACUAAUGGCUUGGUAGAAUAUCCAUCUGUGACCCGCUUGUGAACUUUGAAACUGGAUCUUAGUAUUCUUAAUCAAUAAAGGAGAAUAUUUAAUAUAUAUUAAUAUUUAUUACUCUCCUUUAUUGAAUCUUAGUCAUUUUGCAAAGUGAGAUAUUGGAUUAGAAGGACCCUGAAUCUGAGCCAGCCAAGUUUGCUUAUAUUCCCUUAAAAACAUUUCUAGAGCUUUCAGAGCAGAUUCUUUUUUCUUAUCAUGAAGUGCAUUAGUUGGAUGGUCACUCCACACAAGACCAAGACAACUAGGGUAGAUAAUUUUGAUUGCUAUAUACUCCAGAGAAUGACUAGAGGUAGACAUUUCUGGAAAUCAUUCUCUAUUAUGAAAAGCCUCCCAUUAAUAAAGCUUUAUGGGCCUUAUGAGUAUAUGGAUUCUGAUUGUCCCACCCAUGAGCUCUAUUAAUGAGCCCUCCCCCUAUUUGUGAGGCUUUCCAUGAAGGUUGGGAAACUAAGAACAAUAUGUGUAAAAAUUCAAAGCAGUUUCUUUAUUGUGUGUUCUCCAGGGUGGAUAAAAAUAGAUGAUUAAAAAAAUAAUUAAAAAAUCAGAUAUUUUAAAAUUUAAAUUGGAUUUUUCAAAAUUUAAAUCAGAUUGUAGCAUGAGGCUGUAUAAUCUGCAAUGUUUACAUUUUUUAGUAAACUCAUUCGAUGAAUCCAAACUCUGCAAACUGAGAUAACAUGCACUGCAUUGAUGCAUUCACACAAUUUCACAGUAAUCAUGAGAUAAAUCAUAAAACAAAGUUCAGGAAU
Non-coding RNA from Thamnophis sirtalis, 5661 nucleotides. Lineage: Eukaryota; Metazoa; Chordata; Lepidosauria; Squamata; Natricidae. The record is from RefSeq and is a predicted model, not a curated record.